AUGAGUAAGACGAUGUACCACGAGUCUGUUGCUCGAAGAUAUCCUGCUCUGCCCUCCCUACAGCGAUUCAGGCAGACUCCCGAAACAGGAAGACAAAGCUCAAGGAAGCAUCGGAGAAUGCCAGUCUUCAGCUAUCUCCAAAGCUUGUCUCGUCUUGCCUCUCUCUUUACUUUGGGAAUGGAAGAUUCCAAACUCUUCUCCAUGGUGGGCCAGCCCGGCAUCCUGUUAUCACAGUGGCCAACCAGAUGUCUGUGUGAAACCCUCUAGCAAGACCUGAACACAAGAGCCCCCACCUGCCCCGGCAGAUGAAGAUGAUAGACUUUUCGGAGCUCGCUGACCUGACUGGAAGAAUCCGCGACCAGAAAGAAGAGGAGUUUCAAAAGGACUGGAGGAAAUUUAAGGACUAUUUGAAUAAAUAUUGUAAUAUGAAAAAUUAGAAAUGACUUGAAAGAAACAAAUAGGCCUAGGAUUAAACUAAGUUAUAAUUAAAUAAAUGGGAUUUAGAAUGUUAAGAAAAGUGAAUAAGAUUGACUAUAAUUGGAAAUUGUUUUAGUUUAAUAAUGAUACUGAAAAGCUGUUACUUUUAAUUACAAGGAAACUCAGAAGGGAGGGAUUUGAGGAAGUCAACCAAGAUGUUUAAAAGGUUAGGUUUGUGAAGAAUUACGUUUGUUGUUAUUGUUUAGCUGUUUAUUGUUCCCUUCCCCCCUCCCUCCCCCCCCGUUUUUGUGUAUCAUUUUGCUUUGUGGUUUGUGUUAUCAUUGUGGAAAAUCUAAUAAAAAAAUUAUAUAUAAAAAAGAGAGCCCCCACCUGCCCCACCCCCAUUGGGUUCCAACAGCUGGUAUUCAGAUGUGUGGCUGCUUCUGACUGUAGACACAGAGUAUAGGCAUCACGGCACUGACAGCCUUAUCCUCCAUGAAGUUCUCCAAUCCUGAGCCAGCCUGCAUAGCACAGUUGGCUAGAGCAUGGUGCUGAUAAUGUCAAGGUUGCGGGUUCGAUCCCCACAUGGGACAGCUGCAUAUUCCUUGUACAAUGGUACCUCGGGUUACAUACCCUGCAGGUUACAUACGCUUCAGGUUACAGACUCCGCUAACCCAGAAAUAGUGCUUCAGGUUAAGAACUUUGCUUCAGGAUGAGAACAGAAAUUGUGCUCCGGUGGCGCAGUGGCAGCAGGAGGCCCCAUUAGCUAAAGUGGUGCUUCAGGUUAAGAACGGUGUCAGGUUAAGAACGGACCUCCAGAACGAAUUAAGUACUUAACCCGAGGUACCACUGUAUUGCAGAGGGGUGAUCCUCAGGGUCCCUUCCAACUCUACAUAUCCAUUACUUUAUUAUUUUAUUCUAUUUUAUUAUUAUUUUUCAAUAUUUUUUAUUAGCAAUUUCAACAUAACAAAGUAUCAAAACAUAUCCGAUUCAUUAUUUUUUCACCUUCUCCCCUCCCCAUCAAACCCUCCCCCCCCAGAGACUUCCCUCAGCUCCUCUCUCUGAUUUCUCCACACGUAUUAUUCUCUGCGUAUUGUAAAACUGUAGAAAUCUUUAUAUUAUCUGUCUACUAUGUUAACAAUCAAUAAAUUUGUGUAUGUUUAUUCGAAACCUGCCAAAGAGUCCAGUUCAUUUUGUUGUCUUUUAAAGUAUUUUGUAAGAAGUUCCCAUUCUUUGAAAUCACAGUUGUCCUUCUCUCCGCAGUUUGUAUGUCAGUUUAGCCAGUUCUGCAUAGUUCAUCAAUUUCCCUUGCCACUCUUCAGGACAAAAGACUUUAUUAUUCUAUUUUAAAUCCAUCCAAGUUGUCUCCUGUGGGAGCAUGUCCCCUACUUUAACUAGGCACGAUGUGAAGAAGGACUUUCUUUUACCUGCCGUGAAUCUCUCAACAUCCAGCUUCAUUGAAUGUUCACAAGUUGGCUGGAUGCUGAACUAAAUGGACCUUCCAUCUGAUAACUCUUCACAUCUUCUUACAUAUGGACUGUUGCAUAUAUAUACCGGUAAACCACGCUUUGCUUCCUCUGUACAUCAAGCCCACCUCAUUUUAACAUUUUUGGAGAAUAUGGUCUCUCGACCCUUUAAAUAGCUCUCUCCCCCC
Molecule: long non-coding RNA, 2071 nt
Filed under: Podarcis muralis (Common wall lizard)
Lineage: Eukaryota; Metazoa; Chordata; Lepidosauria; Squamata; Lacertidae
Description: lncRNA (ENSPMRG00000005286.1)
Source: RNAcentral